CAUACCCUUUCCUGCGGAAUAGCUCCGGGAAACUGGAAUUAAUACCGCAUACGCCCUACGGGGGAAAGAUUUAUCGGGGAAGGAUUGGCCCGCGUUGGAUUAGCUAGUUGGUGGGGUAAAGGCCUACCAAGGCGACGAUCCAUAGCUGGUCUGAGAGGAUGAUCAGCCACAUUGGGACUGAGACACGGCCCAAACUCCUACGGGAGGCAGCAGUGGGGAAUAUUGGACAAUGGGCGCAAGCCUGAUCCAGYCAUGCCGCGUGAGUGAUGAAGGCCUUAGGGUUGUAAAGCUCUUUCACCGGAGAAGAUAAUGACGGUAUCCGGAGAAGAAGCCCCGGCUAACUUCGUGCCAGCAGCCGCGGUAAUACGAAGGGGGCUAGCGUUGUUCGGAAUUACUGGGCGUAAAGCGCACGUAGGCGGAUAUUUAAGUCAGGGGUGAAAUCCCAGAGCUCAACUCUGGAACUGCCUUUGAUACUGGGUAUCUUGAGUAUGGAAGAGGUAAGUGGAAUUCCGAGUGUAGAGGUGAAAUUCGUAGAUAUUCGGAGGAACACCAGUGGCGAAGGGGGGUUACUGGUCCUUUUCUGUCCCUUAAGU
This 593-nucleotide ribosomal RNA is filed under the name Agrobacterium tumefaciens. Its description in RNAcentral is "bacterial SSU rRNA". It matches the Rfam family "Bacterial small subunit ribosomal RNA", at positions 125 to 752 of the family's 1533-position model. The record is from RNAcentral. Lineage: Bacteria; Pseudomonadati; Pseudomonadota; Alphaproteobacteria; Hyphomicrobiales; Rhizobiaceae.